GUGUUGCUUACCCGCGGAAAGGAAUUCUAUGGUUUUGGUGUCCCCAUCCGCCUUGUGCCCUUCGGGGUGCGGGGUGGACGCGAGGCGGGCUCCGUGUUCCCCGCGCGUUGAGUGUGCUGACGCUUGACCGCUGUGGCCCAUGGGGUCUCGACCCGUGCUCUCGGAUGCGGAAUGUUGUGUGUGGGCGUGGGGUCUCGGCCUCUUCUCGUCCAAGCUGCACGCAUUGUCCCCUAACAUGAACGACCGUCGCGCCCGUCUUGAUCGACCGACCGAGCCCCCUUUGUGGGUUUUCGGGAGGGCGGCUCAUGCGGAUGUCGGCGUCGGAGAGGAAUGC
Molecule: unclassified non-coding RNA, 334 nt
Filed under: Zanthoxylum armatum
Lineage: Eukaryota; Viridiplantae; Streptophyta; Magnoliopsida; Sapindales; Rutaceae
Description: partial external transcribed spacer
Source: RNAcentral